AGUGAACGCUGGCGGUAUGCCUAAUACAUGCAAGUCGAACGGAAGCACAGUAAGAUUGCUCCCUUACGGUUGGCGAGGGGCGGGUGGGUAACGCAUACAUCGCCAACUUCUAUUUCGGGGGUGAUAACGGAGGACAGGUGACGCUACUAGCGCAUAUGUCCAACGGCUUGAAGCAGUAGAUAUUCGCAGCUUUGGCGUCUGAUAUAGCUGAUUCCGCGUCGCAUUAGCUAGUUGGUAAGGUAACGGCCUACCAAGGCUACGAUGCGUAGCUGAUCUGAGAGGAUGAUCGGCCACACUGGAACUGAGACACGGUCCAGACUCCUACGGGAGGCAGCAGUGGGGAAUCUUGGGCAAAGGGCGAAAGCCUGACCGAGCAAUGCCGCGUGAGUGAAGAAGGUCUUCGGAUUGUAAAGCUCUUUUGUUAGGGAAGAACAGCUGCGUGUUAAUCCCUCGCUGUUUUGACGGUACCCAAAGAGUAAGCCCCGGCUAACUUCGUG
This 497-nucleotide ribosomal RNA is filed under the name uncultured bacterium. RNAcentral describes it as "partial 16S ribosomal RNA". It matches the Rfam family "Bacterial small subunit ribosomal RNA", at positions 29 to 507 of the family's 1533-position model. The record is from RNAcentral.